UAAAACAAAUUGGUCUAAAAGAAAAAAAAGAGAUAAAAUAUGAGAAUGAGAGAGAGAGAGAGAAUAUGAAAGGAGAGGUUGAGUGAAGAGAAAGAUUAUGGAAGAGAAGAGAGCAAGAGAAAGAGAGUAGAAGAAUUAUGAAGGAAGAGGGGUUAGCCAGACAGGGAGAGCGAGAGAGAAAAUGAGAGAGAGGAGGUCUAGAAAUGAAAAGAAAAGGAUAAGAAAAUACAGAAAAGAAACAGAGAGGUAGGGGGAGGGGGAGAGAGAGAGAGAGAGAGAGAGAGAGAGCAGGGAAACAAUACUAUAGCAAGAGAAAAGAGAGGCAGUUUAGACAGAGCUAGUAAAAAAUGUGUCAGAGAGAGAGAGAGAGAGAGAGAGUAAGAGCUAGAUAAAGAGUGAAAAAGGCUAAGUGUGUGAUAGGCAAGAGUAAAAGAUAUGAGAGAAAAUGCAUCAAAGAGAGAGAGAGAGAGAGAAAGAGAGAGAUAAAAAAAACAAGAGGAAAGAGAAUGUAAAUGAUAUAAAUAGUUUACAAAUAAUAAUAAAAGAAAUUAAGAAAGCAAAAAAUAAAAGAAGCAAACUGCAGAUGAAAGCAGUUUCUAAUGGCCCGAAAUUCUAAGAAUGGACAGUUAGCAACCAAUAUUGAUAACAACUUGCUAGAAACUGGUUUGGUUUGACCAUAACAACAACUAUACAUAACUUUACAGUAAUCAGCACUUCCUGACAAUGUGUAAAUAUAGCAGAUAUCAAGGAAAAAAAAAAAAUUUUUUUCCCUUAAGAAAACCAGGCAAAUGAAACUUCAUGACCAAACUAAAGACUGAGAAUGAUAAAGUCAUUUGACUGCAGCCAUGCUGGAGCACCGCCUUUAGUUGAGCAAAUCGACCCAGGACUUAUUCUUUGGAAGCCUAGUACUUAUUCUAUCGGUCUCUUUUGCCGAACCGCUAAGUUACGGGGACGUAAACACACCAGCAUCGGUUGUCAAGCAAUGUUGGGGGGACAAACACAGACACACAAACAUAUACACACACAUACAUAUCUAUAUAUAUAUAUAUAUACAUAUAUACGACGGGCUUCUUUCCGUUUCUGUCUACCGAAUCCACUCACAAAGCUUUGGUUGGCCCGAGGCUAUAGUAGAAGACACUUGCCAAAGGUGCCACGCAGUGGGACUGAAUCCAGAACCAUGUGGUUGGUAAGCAAGCUACUUACCACACAGCCACUCCCGCGCCUGUAGCUUUGAGAUUUUGAUGUUGUGAUUGUUUAUUUUUAGAAGGACAGUGUAGGGUAGGUGUGAGAGACCUUAUGGCUGGUUUGAACAUAAAACAGGUAAAAUAUUUGGGCCAUAUAUGGCCAGUUUAAAUGCUAAAGGGUUAAAAAGAUUUUGAUGAAGAUUUUAUAAUUUGAAUAUUUAAAUAUAAUUUAGUACAGGCAGUCUCAGGCAGGUUGAUAUCAAAAGGGUUAAGAAUGAAUUUCUAAGUAGACUGUGAGUAAUCAAACCACACUAGUUCCUGAACAUAGCAUUUAACCCUUUCAUUACCAUAUUUCUAUUAAAAUACAUUGCCUUUGUUUCAAUUAAUUUUGGAAAUAACAAAGAAUUCAGCAAAAUAACUGGCAUUCUUAAGCUGAGACAUAAAUUAACAUGAAAUUAUGACAGACGUUUAAACCAGGAAGUUCGAUUCAUAUAACCAAGAGUGGUCUCAGGCGGGUUGGAAUUAAGAGGGUUAAUGAUACCGCUAAUCUCUCGGGAGUGGAGGAAGGGGUGCUAUGUUGCAAUGCACCCCACCUGUCUAUGUUGCAAUUGUUUUCUGCAGUUAUGCAUCAAGGAUGUGAAUGGAAUAUAUGUUGCUCAUACUAAUCCCAAAGGUAUUUACCCUUUACUAAAGAGAAAUAAAAUGGAGACAAAGUCAUAUCUGGAUCCCUCAUCAAA
Molecule: long non-coding RNA, 1921 nt
Organism: Octopus bimaculoides (California two-spot octopus)
Lineage: Eukaryota; Metazoa; Mollusca; Cephalopoda; Octopoda; Octopodidae
Source: RefSeq, a predicted model, not a curated record